AUGCAAGACUAUUUUGCGGAGAAUCCUACAUAUCCUCCGCACCUCUUCCGGAGAAGGUAUGGAAUGCGCCAGUCCCUCUUUGUGAAACUUGUUCAAGCUUGCGAGACAAAUUGCCGGUAAUUUACUCAAAGAAGGAAUGCCGCGGGCUUAAAGGGAUUUAGUGCA
Molecule: ribosomal RNA, 165 nt
Filed under: Triticum aestivum (bread wheat)
Lineage: Eukaryota; Viridiplantae; Streptophyta; Magnoliopsida; Poales; Poaceae
Description: partial small subunit ribosomal RNA
Source: RNAcentral